This 101-nucleotide microRNA precursor is filed under the name Marmota monax (woodchuck). Lineage: Eukaryota; Metazoa; Chordata; Mammalia; Rodentia; Sciuridae. The record is from RNAcentral.
AUUGGAAUAUCUAAAUAUUAUGGUAAGUGUACAUAUAACUUUUUAAGAAAUUGUCAAACUUUUUUCCAAAGUGACUACCAUUUUACAUUUCUGCUAGUAGU